AUGGUGCUUCCCGAUGCUUUGUAUCCUUUCCAUCCUUAAAUUUAGUUGGAAUAUCAUCAGAGUGACUAUGAGGCCGACUAAAAGUCUGCGAGUGGGAACGUUCAUUUUUGGGAUCAGAUGUCAAAAGGGGUGAUACAGGUGACUCAGGAUCUGACCCAUUUGAUGUUUGUCGAUUUGCUGACUGAAUGUCAAUCUUGGGUAACUCUGGUAGUCGCAUUUCAAAACUAUCCUGUCUUCUUAUUGAUGGUUCCUUAUCAGCUCCAUCCAGUGGAAGACCAUUUUCCAUCAUUUUCUCUGGUGGUGGACUCAGAGCUUUAGGUGAUUCUUGUGAGUUGAAGGUGCCAUCCGGAGGCCGUAAUACACCUGGAACCCUCUGAAGAGACGGUGAUUUCAUCAUUUUAGGAGACGAUGGUUCUUGGAAGCUGUGACUGGCAGAAGAAUCCUUUUCAAUUUGGAAAGCAUUAGUUUCAUUGUAGUUUCUAGCUGGCAUCCUCCUUGGUAGUUUUGCAGCUUCUUCACAUUUGAGAAGCUCUGCAUAUAGACCAUCUAGGUUUAAUAGUUCAUCAUGUGUACCCAUUUCAACAAGCUGACCUUCCUCCAUUACAGCUAUGUAAUCAGCAUUCCUAAUAAGACUAAGUCG
This 640-nucleotide unclassified non-coding RNA is filed under the name Hevea brasiliensis (rubber tree). Lineage: Eukaryota; Viridiplantae; Streptophyta; Magnoliopsida; Malpighiales; Euphorbiaceae. The record is from RNAcentral.